CUCCGACAAUGAGCUUCUCCAUUCAUCCACCGAUCCGCUCCAAAGACUCUCUAGGCUUCACUAUCAGCCGACCUUCUACAGUGAUCAACUAUUCUCCGAAUCCCUCCCAGACUCCUUCCUGCCGCGGACGACCCUAUUCCGAACUUCUUCUGAACUUCGUCAAUAUCCAAGCUUCUCCGACGAUGCAAUUUCUAUAGUGACCAGACUCUAUCCAAGUUUCUACG
This 224-nucleotide long non-coding RNA is filed under the name Elaeis guineensis (African oil palm). RNAcentral describes it as "long non-coding RNA (EGUI_LNC052742)". Lineage: Eukaryota; Viridiplantae; Streptophyta; Magnoliopsida; Arecales; Arecaceae. The record is from RNAcentral.